CUACAUUAAUGGCGUUCGUUUGAUCACCCUUUGCUACCAAUUGUUGUACUUGCUGCAUUGUGAGUGAUUUACCCAGUGAGCAUUUCUCGUCAGAGAUUUGAUUGCCUAAGUCCAGUUGUAGGGAAGAUGAUUUCUUGGAUUUGAUCAAGUGAUAGUACUUCUCUGUAGCUCCCCACCAUUUAGAAACAGAAGGUUGAGCCUCAGAUUUUGAAGACGAUAACGAGGCAAUGAAAUCAGAUAUUAUGGCUUUCUGAGAUGGCUUGAAAUUUCCAUACCAGAUGAGAUUGACGGUGAUCUUGCCAGUAAGAAGUGGGCCCUUGUGGUAUUUGAAAAGCAUAGGAUCUUGAUUUUCCAAUAUUCUUGCUGCUGAAGCACAACUGAGUAACAAAAAUGCAGAUAUCAAGACCAUAUUGAUGGAGAAACUGGCUGCCAUUUUGAAUUGGGAUUUGAUAUGAAAAGGAAAGUGGAAAAUAUGUGGAAUUUCUUUGUUUUCGAGAGGAUUUGAUGGUGGAAAUAGAGAGCUGAGGCAAUUCUUUAUAUAGGGAGUAUGGACUCAGAUCAGAACAGAGGAAGGCUCAACGAAGGAGACAAGAAUUUAGAAUGUGCCAGCCUUGAUAUUAUUGGAUUGGAUACGCGUUUUCACUUUAAUGAAUUCAUGAGUUUUUUAAAUAAAGUUGGGAGUUGACCCCACGACAUAAAAACAUUAUGUGCCAGCCAGCAUGGAUUUGAGGAAGGGACUACCUCUAAAUAUUUAUGAUCUGCUUGAUUUCCAUAAAGUCAACCUAAUGUUCAAAUUACCACAAGUUGCAAGAGCUUAAAGAUCAAAGUCUAGUUCAAGUGAUGAGAAUGAAGUUUUUACCAUAUUAGUAAAUAGUAAUUUGAGUUCGAUUCUCAGUUCGAUUACCAUAUUAAUAAAUAUAAAAUCUUGAAAAACUACACUUCAUUUGAUCUAAUCAUACUUUUCUGUGAUCAUAAACCAACUAAAGUAUCUUUUUAUAAAUUACAUGAUGUUGGUAUAGUUGUUUGUUAAUCUUUUUUUUCUCAUUUGCAAUUUUGAAAUAAUAAUAAAUUCCACUAAAAUUACAAGAAUUAAUAAAUACGAUAUAAAUUCAACUUUCAAUUUGUUCGUUUGAGAUUGGGUGCAAGUUCGGGAAAAAAAAAUAAUUGUUGGAGUAUAAGUCGUAGGUUCAAUGCAACGUGUAAAUAAAAUUAUAAAUCCUACAAAAUACAUUGAUAAAAAUAUUAUGUAAUGAACUUAUAAAUUUGAAUAAACUUCACAGAACCUGCUCUAAAAUUGUCCAAAGGACUCAUUUUAUGACAAAUAUUCAAAAUAUUUUGAAAUCAAGUUGCAUGCAUGCUUGCACGUACACCGAACACUAGAAAUUAGAGCAACUUUAAUAUAUAUAUAUAUAUAUAUUCAAGCUGUCGCCUACGCUGUAUAGUCAAAGCAACAAACUAUAAUUAAUUAAAACAUUAGCUGAUGGUUGGCCGAAAGGAAUGUAAUUUUGUCUCCUUCCAUACCGUCCUCAAAUGCUGUUGGCCAAACAUAAUUUCAUUUUGUUUUAAUUAAAAAACGCGUUAUCAAGCUGUAUUUUAAGUGAACUCUCUCUCUCUCUCUCUCUCUCUCUAAAUAAAUAUACACUUCAAGGUUGUAUUUGAGAUUUUUUUCCCUGUCAACUUUGAAUUGGGGAUAAGGAGAUUAGGUUGUGGUUUUAGGCAAAAACUGUCAAAUUGAAAUAUCAAAUUUAACGAAAACCAAUUGCAAAGUUAGGAGGGGGACAGCGGGAAGUCGACACUCAAUAAUGUCAAAGUUUAUAUCACAUGUAACUUUCACAUAACUAAAUACUUAUUUACGAGUGUUUACAUUUUUAAUUAAGUAACAUCUCCUAUAGAAUGUGUGGAUAAAAAUCAAGUAAUAAGUUGUGGAUUCAUAGAAUAUGUAUAUAAUGUAGAUUUGAUCCGUUCAAGAUAUAAUUUAAACUGUGCCAAAAAUGUACUUAAGUUGAAGGAUAAAACUGUCAAAUAACUUAAUAUUCUUCUAAUUUUAACAUUCUCCUCACUAAUUUUUCCUCAUUUGGUAACACUGUAUAAAUAUUAAAUAGGUUGAUGAUUAACUUUAUAAGUUAGAGAACGAUUUCCGCACUGUUUAUGUACUACAAGCAUGAUUGUAAUCAUAUGCUGACGCAAAAGAUAUUGACAUCUUUGGUAAAUAUUAAAUUAAAUAAAUUAGACAUAAUAACAGAAAGAGUACAAAACAUAUGAAAUGUUUGUUCGGUAUCCCAUCUAAAUAAAGGUUUUAACACAUCCUUUUUGACUAAUGGAAAAGUUGGUGUAUAUAGCACCAAUAUAAGUAGCCAUUUUGUAUGAGUAAUUAGUAUUUGAGCUUGGAAGUGACAUUGUUUAUGUAUCAAAAUGUCUUUCUAGUGAUGUUUAGUGUUAAUUGGCACUCGAAUUAUUCUUAUAUUUGCACUUCUCAUAAAUUUGGAAAAUUAUAAUAAAUUGUUUCAAACUUUUGACCUUCUUGCAUUUUUGUUUCAAACAUUUAAAUUUAGACUAACAUCGAUAACUUACGCAUUUUUUGCACAGUUGAUCCUUUUGGAUAAAUUCAGUACAAAAUUAUUGUUAAAUUUGCGAGUGAGCUACACUUUCUUUAAGGGAUAAAUAGUAUACGCAAUCCCAAAGUUUGAUAAAAUUAGCGAUCUUGUCCCCAACCUUCAAGAGAUUAAAAGUAAAUACAUCUUAUUAAUAUGUUUCUAAAAAUACAAAUUUAUCUUUUGUUUUUAAAUAAAAUGAAAUAAAAUAAAAUAAUAUCCUUCCCAAUAAGUUUAUCAAAAGCAACCAUUGUUGCCACCACCACAAUCAAGCACAAAAUGACCGAAAUGAAUUGGAGCUUUUCUCAAUCUCCAAAAAUGAUAAAAAUGAGUUGGGGUGGUGGGGCUGCAACCAGGAGGAAAUGGGUGAAGACGGUGCUUAGUGUUUUAUUUUUUAAAUAUUUGUGUUUGUUGGAGGUGCACCAUUAGCCUGAUUUACUUUUAAGGUUAGUGAUCAGUUUCCUUUAUUAAAACAGCAUGUUCAAGUCACACGACUGAUCCAAUAGUAAGCUGACAAAAACUGUUAGGAGAGACUGACUUUUCCAUUUACCAAAGAUUAGGAACAGACAUAAGACAAGACAUUUGUAAGGGCAUGAACGCUACUUUUGUCAAAAUUGGGACUACAUAUGCAAUUUAUCCUAAUUUCAGUUAGUGGCGACCCUGAGUAUAGGCGAGAUAUACGAUCUCCUAAGGCCCCGUUCUGGUGAUGACCCUAAAUUAUGUAAAGUUAAUUAAUUGAUUGAAGAAAAAUGAGAAUCAUAUUUAUGAAAUUCUGCAAAAUAGAGUUAUCGUAUGCAAACAUAAGAAACUAAUAUAUAUAUAUAUAUAUACACACUUUAUUUUCCAAACAUUCAUUUUCUUUUCUUAACCAAACAAAAAGUCUAUUUAUCUCUUCAAAUUCCACGUCCAACAUUCACCUUCCAUUAUUUUUUCACCCAACAAAAUUUAAAUUAUUUCUCUUUGAAUUAAAAUUUUAAAGAUUUAUUGCAGAUUAGUUUGAUCUCAUUGCCAUUUUUAAAACCUUACACGUUUUUUUCUUUUUUUCUUAUCUUCAAAACACAUACUACAGAGUACAUAAGUUGUUAUUAUAUUGUUUUUUAACUUCAUGAUAAUAAUAUUUUUAGAUGUUCGCUGAAAAUGCUUUGAAUUUAAUAAUCCUUUAUCCGUAUUCAUACAGACACUUCUUAUUUUUAAAUUAAUUUCUUAUAAAUUAAUAUAAAAUUAGAAGUUCAUUUGUAUUUGAUCAUUAUUUUCAUUUUUUUUGUUACACUAUUUUUGUAGUCAAUAUUCUCCAAUUCUGUACAUAAAUCACUCAAAUGUAUAUUCAUUUUCGUGCGAAAAAGUUGCAGUGAGAAAAUGUCAUUGGAUUGUAAUUCUGAUUGUCAAACUUUAUUUUUAAAUUUUACUGCAAGUUGAAAUUUGAUAUUUUUUUAAUUUCCUCUUCAAAUUUUGGGGCUUAGUUGUCCGUAUUAGAUUCUUAAUAAUUAUAUUAAGCCACUGUUUGAAAUCGAUUAAAAUCUAAAUUUUAAUUUAACUAUAUAUUUUAUGGAUCUCACAACUUUAAAUUCACAUAUUUCAUCUACUUUUAUCCAAAUCUACUAAUAAUUUGAUUUUAAUCUCUAUCAAACAAAAGCUAAAACUCUAUAUAAGAAGACCCAAAAUAUCAUGGCCCCAUAUUUAAAAUUGGUAUAAGGUUCCCAAAAUAUCAGGGUCGGCCCCGAUUUCAGUCCUUGCAUAAAACUAACAGUCAUUUCGGAUGAAAACCAUAAAAAAGGUCCAUCUGUGCCAAAAAUGAAUAGUUUGGGACAUCAUUGUCACGAUUUAAAAGUUCAGGAGCAAAAAUGCAAGAUGGGUAAAGAUUUGGGCCCAUUUAUAUCAAUUUCCCUAUAAUAUUUUCUAUUUCAUAAUUUUUCUCUUAUGAAAAAGACGAAGUUAGAUUCGUAUUAUAAUAAUCUUUAACCAACAAAGGUCUAGGUGAUUAAAGUUUAGGUAUGAAGUUUAAAAAAAAUAAAAAAAAAUAAAAAUGUCAUUUAACUUGUAGAAAAAUUCAUCACUUGUCUUUAUUUUGUUCUAAUAGCUUGUAAAAGUAAUCAAUUUAUUACAUCAUCAUCAUCAAUCUGGUUUGUAAUAUUCAAGAAAAUUUGUACAUGACUAAUUAAAAAUGGUUACACGUUGUGAGUGGCAAUACCUUGUUAAUUUUAUAAGUUGAACCUCCACAUCAAAAACUCAAAAUAAUGCUAACCAAUAACUCGUAAACAAACUUAGCAACUCAAUCGAAUUAAUGUGCAAAAAGGAUCAGAAAAUGAAUGAAUAAAUUAAUCUUGUAAGUAUACAUUUACAUUGUACCCAACAUUAUAGCGUCAAAAAAGUAAAAUCUAACAUCUUAUUACAAUACUUUCUAUACCAAAGUCGAACAUGAUUUAGUGGUAGGAUCAAGUAAAGCCGGAACCAAAUAUUUUCUUCCAUUGACACCAUUUGCAUUGUAGCUAGCACCGGUCGUGGGGUCCACUAGCAAGUCCCCGGCGUAGCCCGGGUAGGCCCCUUUAGCAUAGACCCCAGGGCAGGCCGAAGCAGCCUCCAAUGGUGCAUCAGAUGGACCCUGGUAAUACCCAUUUCCGAAUGGGUUGGUGGCAGUCCCAGCUAAAAGGCUAGCCAAGUUGAUAACCAUGCCGUCCAAGCCCACAUCAUUGUUGGGUGCAACUAAUGGUGGGCUCUGUGGGCCGUAAAUGGGCUGGUGGAAUGGCCAGGCACAUUGACCCGGGCACUGGGUCUCCGAGUUACCAACCCAGAUGUAGGCAAACUUGCUGUGAUUCUUUCCUUUCAAGAGGGCAGUCUUGGAAGCUACAGAACCAUGGGUUCCGCAUCUACUGGAACAGAAACCUUCAACUGCGACGUCGGCUGAAGUCAAGACUACAUUAAUGGCGUUCGUUUGAUCACCCUUUGCUGCCAAUUGUUGUACUUGCUGCAUUGUGAGUGAUUUACCCAGUGAGCAUUUCUCGUCAGAGAUUUGAUUGCCUACGUCCAGUUGUAGGGAAGAUGAUUUCUUGGAUUUGAUCAGGUGAUAGUACUUCUCUAUAGCUCCCCACCAUGUAGAAACAGAAGGUUGCGCCUCAGAUUUUGAAGACGAUAACGAGGCAAUGAAAUCAGAUAUUAUGGCUUUCUGAGAUGGCUUGAAAUUUCCAUACCAGAUGAGAUUGACGGUGAUCUUGCCAGUAAGAAGUGGGCCCUUGUGGUAUUUGA
RNAcentral lists this long non-coding RNA (5831 nucleotides) under Olea europaea (common olive). Its description in RNAcentral is "long non-coding RNA (OEUR_LNC014667)". Lineage: Eukaryota; Viridiplantae; Streptophyta; Magnoliopsida; Lamiales; Oleaceae. The record is from RNAcentral.